Molecule: unclassified non-coding RNA, 242 nt
Filed under: Chytridiomycota sp.
Lineage: Eukaryota; Fungi; Chytridiomycota
Description: partial contains small subunit ribosomal RNA, internal transcribed spacer 1, and 5.8S ribosomal RNA
Rfam family: Eukaryotic small subunit ribosomal RNA (bases 1-47)
Source: RNAcentral
AAAGUCGUAACAAGGUAACCGUAGGUGAACCUGCGGUUGGAUCAUUAACAAAAUGAUAAAAGUCCGGACCAUAAAACGUCCUGGGCUUUUAUAAACACCUGUGAACUGUAAUUGUAUCUGGUGGUUUUUAUUUUUUAAAAUUGAACCACCGUCAAUAAUUUGAACUUUUAUAUAUCUUGAAUUAGUUUUUAAUUAAAAUUUAUAAUCUAAAACAACUUUUGACAACGGAUCUCUAGGCUCUC